CCUACGGGAGGCAGCAGUGGGGAAUAUUGCACAAUGGGCGCAAGCCUGAUGCAGCCAUGCCGCGUGUGUGAAGAAGGCCUUCGGGUUGUAAAGCACUUUCAGCGGGGAGGAAGGCGGUGAGGUUAAUAACCUCAUCGAUUGACGUUACCCGCAGAAGAAGCACCGGCUAACUCCGUGCCAGCAGCCGCGGUAAUACGGAGGGUGCAAGCGUUAAUCGGAAUUACUGGGCGUAAAGCGCACGCAGGCGGUCUGUCAAGUCGGAUGUGAAAUCCCCGGGCUCAACCUGGGAACUGCAUUCGAAACUGGCAGGCUAGAGUCUUGUAGAGGGGGGUAGAAUUCCAGGUGUAGCGGUGAAAUGCGUAGAGAUCUGGAGGAAUACCGGUGGCGAAGGCGGCCCCCUGACAAAGACUGACGCUCAGGUGCGAAAGCGUGGGGAGCAAACAGGAUUAGAUACCGAGUAGUC
RNAcentral lists this ribosomal RNA (463 nucleotides) under uncultured Klebsiella sp. RNAcentral describes it as "bacterial SSU rRNA". It matches the Rfam family "Bacterial small subunit ribosomal RNA", at positions 338 to 795 of the family's 1533-position model. Lineage: Bacteria; Pseudomonadati; Pseudomonadota; Gammaproteobacteria; Enterobacterales; Enterobacteriaceae. The record is from RNAcentral.